GAUGAACGCUGGCGGCGUGCCUAAUACAUGCAAGUCGAGCGAACAGACGAGGAGCUUGCUCCUCUGACGUUAGCGGCGGACGGGUGAGUAACACGUGGAUAACCUACCUAUAAGACUGGGAUAACUUCGGGAAACCGGAGCUAAUACCGGAUAAUAUAUUGAACCGCAUGGUUCAAUAGUGAAAGACGGUUUUGCUGUCACUUAUAGAUGGAUCCGCGCCGCAUUAGCUAGUUGGUAAGGUAACGGCUUACCAAGGCAACGAUGCGUAGCCGACCUAAGAGGGUGACCGGCCAGACGGAACCUGAGACACGGUCGAGCCUCCAACGGGAGGCAGCAGUAGGGAACCUUACGUAAGGGGCGAAGGCCUGACGGAGCAACGCCGCGUGAGUGAUGAAGUUCUUGGAAUCGUAAAACUCUGUUAUUAGGGAAGAACAAAUGUGUAAGUAACUAUGCACGUCUGGACGGUACCAAAUGAAAAAGCCACGACUAACUACG
RNAcentral lists this ribosomal RNA (495 nucleotides) under uncultured bacterium. Its description in RNAcentral is "partial 16S ribosomal RNA". It matches the Rfam family "Bacterial small subunit ribosomal RNA", at positions 28 to 505 of the family's 1533-position model. The record is from RNAcentral.